UUUUUUUUUCUUUUUUUUUGGUCAUUUUAGGGCCACACCUGCAGCAUACGGAGGUUCCCAAGCUAGGGGUUGAACUUUGAGCUACAGCUGCGGGUCUAUACCACAGCAACAGCAAUGCCAGAUCUGAUUCACAUCCAUAACCUAAGCCAUAGCUUGCAGCAAUGCCAGAUCUUUAACCCACUGAGUGAGGCCACAGCUCGAAUCUGCAUCCUCAUGGAUGCUUAGCUGGCUUCUUACCCCACUGAGCCACAAUGGCAAUUCCACCCACUCUAUUCUUAAUAUAGUAUCCAGUGAUUCUUUUUUUUUUUUUUUUUUUUUAAAUCUAAGCCAGAUCAUGUGGCUCCUGUGCUCAAAACUCUCCCCAUCACACAGAGUAAGACCAAGGUCCUUCAAGGUCCUGGACAACUACACAUGACCUGGCAGCCAUUAUUUCUCUGAUACCAUCACCUACCACAGUUGCUUCCUGUUCUCCAACCACACUGGCCCCUUGUGCUUUGAAAGAAUGGAGAAGAGACAUGUGGUGGGGUAUGGGUACAAACAACAGUCUGUCACACAAACUCUUAUUUUGAAUGGACAUAAAAUACACUCCAUCUGCAUUACAUAUUAUUACUUUGAGCCUUAAUUUCUUUUUUUUUUGUUGUUGUUGUUGUUGUUGUUGCUAUUUCUUGGGCCAUUAAGUUUGCAGUGGUUUGUCAUCUAGGAAGAGAUAACUGGAAAUUCAUUUUUUCCAUGCCAUUUUUGAUUCCUAUUUCUCUAAGUUAGCAUGUACUUCACUGCCCUCCUCCUUCCAUACUUCAACUUUUGUCUCUCUUCCCUUACUUGAGUGUUUCUUUUGUUCUUUCUUCCAUUUUAACAUAAUGGCAAACAUUUCAAAUAAGCAAUUCUAUUAAGAGACAUAUUGGCCAUACAUAUUGGAGAAAUGAUUUUUGAUGUUAUAUCUUUGAAAUACAUUGCUUUUCAUUAUGUUGAUGUGGGUUCACAUUUGACUACUUUUAUGUAAGUCAUUUUUCUAAAAAAACUGUUGUCUAAACAUUUUUGAUGAAACAUCAAUCUUAAGUCCUACCAGUUAUAUUUCACAGGCUGCUAUGAGAACCAUUAGUCUUCAUCUGGUUUGUCGUACCUCAAUAUAAAAGACACAAAGUUUUUCUUUAAACUACAAGAACAAUAUAGUACCUAAAGUAAAGUAAAUAGUAAUCAAAGCUUUUACUUACAGAGGUUAUCUCUGAAUAUUGCUAACUGGUGAUUUUUACUUCUUCAUGAUUUCCAAAUUUCUGCAGUAAACAUGUGUUCCUUUUAUAAUAACCAAAAAUAGAUUUUUAAUUUAUGCAUAUUAGCAUUUAAAAAAAGUUCUAAAUUGUUUUAUCUUUAAACAGGGGUGGGGUUCAUCUAAUAUUUUUUUUCUUCUUGUUUCUUUUCAGUUUAACCCAGAACUUUAAUCAUAAAAAAAAAUUCAGGUGACUAGCCCAUGCUAAAGGGAGCUGUGGGUAGUUCCAAAGUUUAUUCUUAAACUAAGCUGGGGAGUUCUGUCACAGAUCUCCUAGUCCAGUAAUCUAAGAAAAUUUCUUUUUAUUGGUACAUAUUUUAUUUCUCCCACAUAACUUUAAGUUAACAGUAUCACAAUAAAAAACAAUUCAAUUAUUUAGAUCUACUUAAUUCCUUUCUCUGUAGGUCAGUUCAGCUUAUUAUGUUUUGUAGCAGCUGCUUGUUCUAUCCUACCUCGAGCCAUGUGGCUCUUUCCCAUGUCUUUCCAUCCACUCAAUGACUAGGCUUCAGUUAGUCAAUGUUUUUGAAUUAAAAAAAAAAAAGACCAAUGUAGGAAAGAGAGGGUAGGAAUUUCAGCAUCCUUUCUCAUGGAUGCUUGUGGGGGUUAGCACAUCCCAGUUCCUCUAAGUCUCUCUUCUUUUCCAGCUGGAUGAGUCCCCAUAAACAAGGAGGGAUGAAUGUUCCUUCCCAGAGAAAGUGAACCUAAAAUGGGUUCAGAAAUUCCACCUGGCCAGUGCAAUGCCUCUAUUACUAUGAAAGUUGGCCCAAAGUGAUGAAAUCAUGUGUUUGGAUUUUUACAUUCUCCCCAGCACUAAGACUCUAAGUGGUCUGACUUUUCCUUCUGGAACCAGAUACCAAAUGGCACUUAGUCCAGGUCUCUUAGUAUCUCUUCAUAUACUGAAGGGAAUGGGAUUUCUAUGAACAGUGAAGAACUGUUACUUGAAAAAAAGAAGUUAACUUGCAGUUCUUUGGUGAGUGGGAAGAGUUUUAGUUGUGAUGACCUUCUUAUUAGUUCAUUUCAAGAUGGUUUCUCCCUUUCCACAACACUUUUUAAAGAACUAAUAAGACCUCUAAUUCACUAAUCAUCUCUAUUCUGAUGACCCCUACACAUUUAUGUUUGGCAGUAACUCUGAUCUCUACUUCAAAUUUCCACUUGGAUAGACACCUCCAAAGUCCCAUGUUCAAAAUUGAACUUAGGAUCUUCUUUAUCCCAUAGACCUAGUCCUCCUCUCAGGAUUUCCUCAUUGGCUCUGCCAAUGCUGAUAGCACCUAUUGUCCAGGACACACUGUUGUAUCUCCUACAUUCAACAAAAUGCCUAGCAUAUAGCUGAUACUUAAUAUUGUCUUGAAUCUGGAAUACUUUUAUGGCGAAUGCCAAUAAGACUCUCAACCUUCUCAAAGACCAAUAAAAUGGAUUUAUGGUUCAUCCAAAAAUUCAAGCAAAUCUUUUUUUAAAAUUUUUUUUUAGGGCUGCACCUGUGGCAUAUGGAAGUUCCCAGGCUAAGGGCUGAAUCAGAGCCACAGCAAUGCUUGAUCUGAGCUGCGUCUGUGACCGACACCGCAGCUCACAGAAAUACCUUAUCUUUAUCUCACUGAAUGGAGCCAGGGGUCGAAACCACAGCCUCAUGGAUACUAGGCAAAUUUGUUACCACUGAGGUACAACAGGAACUCCCAAGCAAAUCUCUACUGCCUCUAAAAUCCAGAUUCUUUCUUCAUGCCAAAGCUACUGCUAUUUACUAAAACAGUUGAAUGCCUUCUAAAAUUCCCAUCAUUAUUGUGCAUCAACAUGCAGUUAAAUGAAUGAAUUGAUUAUAAUUUUCUCUGCUCUAUCAAAUUUCUACUUCUCAAACUGUGCUUCAUGAAUGUGUCACUGCUGGAAAAUGAACACUAACUGUGCAUUCAGGGCAUUUAACAGCAAAUUUGAGUGAAGUGUUGAUAUCUUGAUAGGAAAGAUUUCUUUGAGCUCUACUAAGCAUUUUUGAAGGCAAAUUGUGUCAGCAGACUGAAAUUACAUGCAAAAUUAUCUAAACUAUUUUACAUAUGCUAGACAGUCACACUUUAUAGCAAAUGAAGCUUUCAAAAUGGAGGGUAUGAAGCUGAAUAAUAUCAACCUCUGGUUAAUUACCUCCAAUACAGGUCUCUACUCAAGGAUAAAGGCAUAAAAUGCAACUGUGGUAUACAACAGUGUGAGACUUCAGGGAAAAAGUGGAGGAUGUUAUUACAGCCCUCCAUCACACACAUGGGGCAACUGUUAUAUUUUACCUACUAUUUUACGGAUUUAUCAAGUACUUAAUGUUCUAAGGGAUGCAUUAUUCCUGGAAUUGGUCCAUUACUUUACUGCUCUUUACAUAGUAUAAGCAGAGUAGGGCAUACCUUGGAGGAACAAAGGAGGCUUCCUCUUAUGCUGAGCUUUCUUUGCUCCAGAUCACCUUAAUCACAUUAAACAGUUGUUGGUUAACUAAAUCCGUUGGCAGUAUACCACUAAUUGUUCAGUCAUCACACCUUGAGGGCAAAUAAUGUAAUUUUCUCAGUCACCUGCGCUCUGAUUUGACCAUUCUCAGCUUUUGCUUUCGACUAUUCAACAAGAUCCUGAAAAAUAAGUAAUGAAAUCUGCAUGUGAUACAAAACCCAGUAGAAAAUCCUUCAGUUCUAAAAAUAAAAAUCCAAAGUAUUGUGUCCAUUUGAAUAAUCUGAAAAUUUUCAAUAAGAAAUAUGUCUCUUAGACAUGGUUAGGUAAGAGAAUUAUCUCCUCACUUUUUACUUGGAAUGUUGCCACAUUCCCUCACUUACUCUUUUUCUAGGCCAGAAAUAUUUCAUGAUAAUAAUAAUAAUGGCUAAUUUACUGAGCAGUUACAAUGUGUCAAGAACCUUAUUUAGAGCAGGGUUUCUCAACCUUGGUUCUACUGACAUUUUGGACCAGAUAACUCUGUUGUGGGACAUGCAUUCAGGAUGUUUAGGAGCAUCUCAAGCCCCCACUCUCCCAGACUCCACCCACACCCAGUAUGACAUCCAUAAACAUCUCUAGAAAUUGAUAAAUAUUCCCUAAUGGGCAAAACUGCCUCCAGUUGAGAUUUACCACCUUAGAUAUAUCAAUUUACUUAAUUCUCUAAACAACUCCAUGAGGAAAGUUCCACUUUCCAAAGUAUAGGUGAGGAAAGAGAGGAACAGAAAGAUUCAACAAUUUGCCUAAAGUCACUCAGCUCCCAGGGAUACAGCCAGUAUUUGAUCAAGGUAGUCUGACUCCAGAGCUCUAACUCUUAACUGCUGCUCUAGAAACCUGACCUCUUUUUGACUUUUUAGGGCUUAACGAAAUGAGGCUUGUUGGAUCAGAAUCCCUUCCAAAGUUAUUUCAGGGUGAAGGAAAUGCUUCAGCAAUUAAGAUUGAUUUAGGAAUUGAAACUGACUUGAAAGAAAGAGGGGAAUGAGGUCGUCACUUAUAUCUGAGUCAUGGUAAUUGAAAGAUGGUUUUAAAUUGGAGGAUUACCCACGUAUAAAAAAAACUAAAAACCCAGAGCUUGAUAACUUUGUUCUUCUACCACCUAAAUCAUUUUUACAUCUAAGUAGAAUAGAUGCCGAGUAUAAUUUAAGCACCUCCUCUUAACGGCAAUGUCUGGCCCACCAGCCAGCAUAAUUCUCAUCAUUAGAUUCUCUCCUGUAAUUGGAGAUUUAUAUCUUCCAAUUAGAAAAUUCAUUUGCAGAUGACCCUUGUUAAAAUGCUAAUAUCCAUAUUAAGCUCUGUUAGUCUUCGUUUAAAUAAAUUAAUCAAAUUAGUUAGUGAGUCAUUUAGCAAGCCAUUAGUAAGUAAAUUACAAAACAUAAAGUUCUGAUGGCCCAGAGGCAGGGAAAAUCUGGUUACAAGAUGUUUUGCAGAGAAGCCACACAUGGGGCUGGUAGGACCAUGUGGGGCAGUACAAGAUAAGCAAGGUGCUGGGCAGGCGGACAGGCGUCCAGCAGUGAGGAAGCAUGGAGAGUCACUUACAAGGAAACUUGCCUCCUUUCUGUCUUCCCUAGUUUCCUAUUAUUGACAAUCUCUUUUCCCAUGCGUAUUACAGAGUUCUUUCCUCAAAAUGCAGAUUGGUCCCAGGUUAUCCUAGAAGGCUGCACAGCAGACCUGCCACUUUUAUAGCAAACUUUGAGGGGCUGAAAAUUCCCCCAAAUGGCACUGCUCUUCCUUGAAUCAGCUACUCAAACUUCUUUCCACUUGAAUGAUACAUGGUUUUCUAUGUGCAAGAAACGUGAGCCUGAAUUUGCAAUGUAUAUGGUUUUUCCAUGGUCCUGGCUUCUCCAAACAUCUUGUGGAAAACACAAUUUCACCAUCUUUCAUAGGACAAGGGACAGAGGGUGAGGGUGCUCCUUGCUGUCUUAGGUAGGGAGGCAAAAAGGAAUUUCAUUCCUUCUCCCUCUACUUAGUAUCUCUAAAUAAAUGCAAGUAGACACUCACUUGUUUUGAUACAGAAAACAUCAGUCACUACAUUAAAAGGUUUCCUAUCUGGGAGUGCUCAUUGUAAGAAUUUUUCUUCAAAAAAAAAAAAGAAUAAAUUGCAACUGAAAUCUAAACUAGACUGUAAUUAAGCAGUUUAAAUCUGCUCAAAACAAUUUUCAAGUAUUUAAAUGCUAACAGAAAACUUCUUCAAAAAUAUGAAUAAUAGAUAAGGAAAUGGGACUCAAGGUUCAUAACUGAUACAGCAAGAAAAAUUUUUAUUGUGGAACUAUUAAAGGACUAUGAUUUUUAAAAAGAAAGCCAUCAUGCAGAUUAAAAAGCUAGGCUGGGUGGUUAACUGCAAGAGUGACCAGAUAAACCUCACCUAAGCAUACCACAAUUAUCAAGUAGGCUUAGAGAUGGAAAGUUGCCCUAUCUCUGAUCAAACUACCCGGCCUUUUGAAAAAUCAAGGUGAAAGAUAAGCAUAUACAAACUUGCAUUUAAAAAAAAAAAACACUUCUAUUUAUUAUAUUUUGCAACUAUGAUCUUUUAAAGCCGUGGCCUUAGGAAAAUCUGCUUUGGCAAGCGACUGCAGAGGCUCCUGUGGAGAGGAAGUGAAAAGACUGGGCUUAUAUACAAGGGCUGCUGGCACGUUCAAAGCGCAGGGGAUAGUUCACAGAGCAAAAUGUAGUCCUAAGUAAAUGGGUUUCAGGCAAUUUCAGUGUUAAGAUAACAUC
Molecule: long non-coding RNA, 6421 nt
Filed under: Sus scrofa (pig)
Lineage: Eukaryota; Metazoa; Chordata; Mammalia; Artiodactyla; Suidae
Description: lncRNA (ENSSSCG00040048027.1)
Source: RNAcentral